RNA transcript from Megalobrama amblycephala (Wuchang bream), 3330 nucleotides. It is a transcript of the gene named chemokine-like protein TAFA-1, with no coding region annotated. The record is from RefSeq and is a predicted model, not a curated record. Lineage: Eukaryota; Metazoa; Chordata; Actinopteri; Cypriniformes; Xenocyprididae. The transcript has 6 exons.
UGCAGUUGCACACAGAAAACACACACAUACAAGCUUAUAUCAACUGUAUAGGUGCCUUUCUGUUCAGCUACAGCGGGCAGUCUUGCUUUAAGACGUGUGAUGCGUCUCGCUCUCCCACUUGCGAAGCAGUAUUGUCAUACACACAAGCACGCCUGCACUCACACAUGCGUGUGCACACCAAUCAGUACACUAGGAAGAGGAGAGACUCGUACUGAGUGGCUUUCAAUGGGAGAGAAGAGCUGAGAAGAGAGAGGGACGGAGCGAGCGAGCGCACAAGAGAGAGGGAGAGAGAGAGAGAAGUGUCGUCGCAUGUGCAGGACCAAAAAGUGAAGAGGCAAAUUAGCUUGUUAUCCCCCAAAGAAGCUUCACCUUCAGAAAGAAGCGUGAGGAGGCUGAGAAACAGGAGGAAUACGUUGCUUCUCUGGUGAUUUAAAGGUGACAUGACAAGCCGCUCGUCCCUCAAAUCCCAGCUAGUUUCUGACAGCGUCUCACAGCUGUGACGGGAGUUUCUGCUGUCGGGUGCCUGACUGUGUUCGGUGGAUUGCAGCCAGGAGGACUUACAACAGAAGAGGGGAUCAAGGGCAGGAGCGGGAACAAAAGUCUCCUCAUCCCCCGCCCCCCCCUCCCUCUGACCCCUAGAUCCAAGCAGGAACUUUUGCUGGGAAGCUCUUUCCCGUGAGCAUGGAUGGAUUUAUGACUAUGUGCUGAGGAUAUUGGAUGAACAUUGACGGCAGGUUUCUUUAACAUUCUCCUGACACGGUAUCACACAGCCGGUGCUCCUGCCAUGUCCUGGCUCCUGUGUCUGUGGAUAAGUGUUAGCUGCUUACUGCUGUGCCACGCCACUUUGUAUGAAACCAUCCAGCAGCAUCAUGUGACCCGCCCGGGCCGCAACGCCAUACAGAUACUGGAGGGAGGAACAUGUGAGGUCAUCGCAGCACACCGAUGUUGCAACAAGAACCGCAUUGAGGAACGUUCCCAGACGGUCAAGUGCUCAUGUUUACCAGGAAAAGUGGCCGGCACAACACGGAACAAACCUUCCUGUGUAGACGCCUCCAUCGUGAUUGGGAAGUGGUGGUGUGAGAUGGAGCCGUGUCUGGAGGGAGAGGAGUGUAAGACACUACCAGACAACUCCGGAUGGAUGUGUUCCUCUGGGAACAAGAUCAAGACCACGAGGAACACCCAGCCAUAUUCAACUUUUUAGCUCUGAGGGCCACCAAAACUGGCUCACCAGAAGCUCAGCGGCGUCCUUCUCCUCAUCAAGAUUCAUCCCCGGACCUAACAAAGAGCUCCUUCACAGGCAGUGAAUGUGGAUUCUCUCUGUCAGAAUGGACGAAACCAUUGAUUCAAAGGGGUGUUUGACUGGAUUACCUGUGACUGAACAAUAAAGAAUGACAUUCUUGGGGAUAAAGAUGAGAUUUGCUCAUUCGGUGCCAAGGAAUGUGAAAAAAUAGAAAUAAAGCAGGCUAAUCUGUGUUUUUGAUCAGUGAGCCCAACACUGCGGACUCCGACGGCUGUCUCCAAUUCUCUCUAUUUUCUGCAUUUCUCCUGACCACCUUUCUCCGGUUCUAAAGUCAUACAGCUUAGGGGAGCCGUUUACUGGAUUUCAAAUUAUAUUUGAAGACUUUACCUCCCUAGGUAAACUGGACAAUCCUGAUAUAAGCUGUGAAUGACUGUAUGAAGGAUCAUGAUGGAUAAGCAUUGGUCUGUGAAAAUGAGGUGGAAAUCAAUAGGAGAUUUUUUCCAUCCCUCCAUCAGUUUGUCGUUCUGCCGUCCACGCUGGCUUUGGUAAUAGACUGGGAGCUUCUGAAGCCCUGCUAUUUCCCUCCACUUCUGAGUUUACCGCUCACCGCUAGUGUCCACACGUCGUUCGUUUUGGAAUUCCCCCGGGUCAAAGGUCACCUCACUGUCUACACCUACUUGGGCCAGAUAUCUUUUUAUUUGUCGGCAUGCUCAGUGUAUUUUGUGGGAGCUUUGUAUUGAAAGUAACUGUAUAUAUUUCUGUAUAUAUACAUAUAGAUACAUAUUAAAAGACAUCAUAUGAAGAUCUAACAUGCCCUUAAACCUGUUUAGUGGGUUUGAAUUAAGACUGUAUUCAUGGUUUUGGUUACUUGAACAAGAAGUACAAUUAAUCCCUAAUUUAAGGCUGUCUGUGGAAAUACAUAUUCUCUCGAUGUAAUGGAAAUCCUGCAUUUUUUGCUUAAAAUGUUCCAAAACACAAAGGGGAAAAUUCACUAAACAGUUGCAACACUUUUGCACAUGAUAUUUGAGCACAAAAAACUUUUUUGGCACUUAAAUAGCCCUAAUUUAUACAUCAUUGUCAUUCAUUUUCAGUGCAAAUUAUUCAGAAAACUCUAUUUAUAUAGUGGAAUUAAGGUUGUGCUUCUACCGCCAGCAAAAAUCAGAUGGUAAAUUACUUGAUUAUGUAUAUUUUCUAGUGAUCAUUGCAGCAGUACUUCAAAAUGUAAUAAUCAAAUAAUAUAGAAGAGCAGCUGUGCAGAGUAGUUGACCACACUUUCAUUGGUGCUGUAAAGUACAUCAAAUUAUGGUACACCACUUUAUCCUCCACAACCUACUACAGCAUAUGGAAGCAACCAGCGCCAUCCACAGUUUUUGUGGGUCCAUUUGUUCUGUUGUCUGAUUUGUUAAAUUCUUUAGUGAAUCAGGUGCAAACAGUGCAAAUACUUGCCUCUGUCGGCAGACGCAACUCAUUCUUAGUGAAUUUCCCAAAGAUUUCAGUGUGAUGAGGACCAGCCCAACAAAAGAAGCCACAGUCACCUAUUGGAGCUUAGAUAACCAUUGGUAAUUUCCUAUAGGCAGUUCUAACUCAGUUCAGUUCAGUCCAUGGUCCAGUUUGUUCUGUGCUGUUCUGAGAAUAGAUAGGCUUCAUUAUGCUUGUGUAGGUUUCAUAAAUACAACAAAAUAGAAGACAUUGAGCUUGUUUAAGAUGAUAAUCAUGAUGAUAACUAAACACUGGAUCUGUGUCACUGGACAAAGACCUGAUUCAGUUCAGAAAAAUGAAGCCUUAGUUUGGUAGGGUCAGUGUCGCAAAAUGUUGUUUUCUGGAGAUAAAACUUAUUUAUAAUGCUUGGCAGCUUAUAAUUUACAAUUGCUAUACCUCCACAUGAAUUAUGAGGAAAAAUUUUCAUUCAAAAUGUCACAUUAAAAUGUUCUAGUUUUCUGUGUAAUAUGUUUUCGAAAGUGCAAAAGGUCAGAGGAAAGGUGGGCUUCAUUUCUCUUUACUGGCAUCAGUAGACCUGCAAUUACAGUAGCUCUGGUAGAUAAACAUGCAGCCUUAUCAGAAGCAAAUCAAUAUUAAAAUGGUUUUCUAUA